Molecule: ribosomal RNA, 492 nt
Filed under: uncultured bacterium
Lineage: Bacteria
Description: partial 16S ribosomal RNA
Rfam family: Bacterial small subunit ribosomal RNA
Source: RNAcentral
GAUGAACGCUAGCUACAGGCUUAACACAUGCCAGUCGAGGGGAAACGACAUCGAAAGCUUGCUUUUGAUGGGCGUCGACCGGCGCACGGGUGAGUAACGCGUAUCCAACCUGCCCAUCACUUGGGAAUAACCUUGCGAAAGUAAGACUAAUACCCAAUGAUAUCCCACGAAGGCAUCGGAAUGGGAUUAAAGAUUUAUCGGUGAUGGAUGGGGAUGCGUCUGAUUAGCUUGUUGGCGGGGUAACGGCCCACCAAGGCAACGAUCAGUAGGGGUUCUGAGAGGAAGGUCCCCCACAUUGGAACUGGGACACGGUCCAAACUCCUACGGGAGGCAGCAGUGAGGAAUAUUGGUCAAUGGGCGAGAGCCUGAACCAGCCAAGUAGCGUGCAGGAAGACGGCCCUAUGGGUUGUAAACUGCUUUUAUAAGGGAAUAAAGUGGGUCACGUGUGACUUUUUGCAUGUACCUUAUGAAUAAGGACCGGCUAAUUCCGUG